Setaria italica (foxtail millet) is the source of this 783-nucleotide long non-coding RNA. RefSeq lists it as uncharacterized. Lineage: Eukaryota; Viridiplantae; Streptophyta; Magnoliopsida; Poales; Poaceae. The record is from RefSeq and is a predicted model, not a curated record. The transcript has 2 exons.
CCUACCCCGCAGUGCGUGGGCCUCCUAAUCGCGAGUUAACGAGUUAACAACGUGAUUAGCCACCCAAACCGGAUCUGUUCUUCCACAAGAACAGACUUCCACAAGAACAGAUCUAAUCUGACUGCUAAGGGCACUGAAAGGGGUAGAAGCUCGUACCCACGUUCAGACCACAUGUCAUCAAAUUGAGAGUCUUUACUCUUGAUUUGGUGGUCAUAUUCUUCGCUGCUACUUCUACAUCAACAUCUUCACCAAUUUCAGAGGCAGAUCCAUGGAGGUUCAAGGCUCAGUGAAUUAUGCAAAUUUGCUGAGCACCAUUGAGCAUUAUGAUGGCACCAAUUUCCCUAGUUUGAAUAAGGAGGUGCUUGCCAUUCUCAAGGUUCUUGACCUUGAUGAUGCAUUUCGUGAGGACAAGCAUGUUGCUCCCAUUUUUUGGAACUGAGGGUUAUGAUGAGAAAAUAAGGGAAUACAACUCCAACUCAGAGAAUUGGGAGAGAUCUGAUAAGUUGGCAAAAAUGGUCGUUAGGCAUUCGAUCAUAAAUGCCUUAAGGGGAGCAUUUCCUAUUAAGGAAGAUGCCAGGGAACUAAGUGUUAAAGAGUUUCUAAACUCAAUUGAGGGAAGGUAUAAAGAUGAGUUAGCUAAUUUCCUCAUCACAAAGUUGUCAACCUCAUGUUAUGAUGGUCAAGGUGCAUUGAGCAUACAUAUUGUGAGCAUGAUUGACAUGGCCGCUGAGUUGAAAACACUUGGAAAGUCUAUCACUAAUGACCAACUUGUGAAAUUUAUAA